Molecule: long non-coding RNA, 486 nt
Organism: Cucurbita moschata (crookneck pumpkin)
Lineage: Eukaryota; Viridiplantae; Streptophyta; Magnoliopsida; Cucurbitales; Cucurbitaceae
Exons: 4
Source: RefSeq, a predicted model, not a curated record
CCGUUUGUCGAAAGGAGAAGGCACCGGAGGUAGGAGAUUGAAACCCAACCCACGCUCGCCGGAGAAACUUGAGCUUUAGAUCCACGGGUGUUCGGCGGUCGACUUCGGAUGGAUACAAACCGAGGAGGGAAGUCGAACGAAGGAAGAAUGCCAAGUUGUUAUGUAUAUGCGGGAGGACGAUCUAUGAGAUUUGAGGAGGAUCGUGGGUGUCGGAAACGAAUCAGAGGAUGAGGCGACGACAAGCAUGCAGAGGAAUUAUCUGAGGAGUUUGGCAAGUUUUGGACUAAAGACGUAAAUCGGAACAAAAAGUGUCACGCUUUUCAGGUGGAAAUUGAUGUAGCGAUCGAGGCGGAGGCACAGGGGGCGGAGGCACAGGGGGCUGUUGGCUAUAGAGAGUUCCAUCACAUUUGAGUUGAGUUUCUUUGUACCUACCUUUAAAUCCGGCCUUUCAUGUAUUUUAAUUAGUUGUCCGAACGACGUUGUAUC